This 463-nucleotide ribosomal RNA is filed under the name uncultured bacterium. RNAcentral's name for it is "partial 16S ribosomal RNA". It matches the Rfam family "Bacterial small subunit ribosomal RNA", at positions 28 to 507 of the family's 1533-position model. The record is from RNAcentral.
GACGAACGCUGGCGGCGUGCUUAACACAUGCAAGUCGAACGGAAAGGCCUUUUCGGAGGUACUCGAGUGGCGAACGGGUGCGUAACACGUGGGUGAUCUGCCCUGCACUCUGGGAUAAGCCUGGGAAACUGGGUCUAAUACCGGAUAGGACCGCACUUUAGUGUGUGUGGUGGAAAGUUUUUUCGGUGUAGGAUGAGCCCGCGGCCUAUCAGCUUGUUGGUGGGGUAAUGGCCUACCAAGGCGGCGACGGGUAGCCGGACUGAGAGGUUGGUCGGCCACAUUGGGACUGAGAUACGGCCCAGACUGCUACGGGAGGCAGCAGUGGGGAAUAUUGCACAAUGGGCGCAAGCCUGAUGCAGCGACGCCGCGUGGGGGAUGACGGCCUUCGGGUUGUAAACUACUUUCGCCAGGGACGAAGCGUUUUGUGACGGUACCUGGAGAAGAAGCAACGGCUAACUACGUG